Molecule: small RNA, 796 nt
Filed under: uncultured Cryptococcus
Lineage: Eukaryota; Fungi; Basidiomycota; Tremellomycetes
Description: eukaryotic LSU rRNA
Rfam family: Eukaryotic large subunit ribosomal RNA (bases 511-796)
Source: RNAcentral
CUUGGUCAUUUAGAGGAAGUAAAAGUCGUAACAAGGUUUCCGUAGGUGAACCUGCGGAAGGAUCAUUAUUGAUUGGUCGAAAGACCUUAUCAGAUUCUACCACCUCUGUGAACCGUUGACCUCCGGGUUAAUAAUCAAACAUCAGUGUAACGAACGUAAGAGUAUCUUAAUUAAACAAAACUUUUAACAACGGAUCUCUUGGCUCUCGCAUCGAUGAAGAACGCAGCGAAAUGCGAUAAGUAAUGUGAAUUGCAGAAUUCAGUGAAUCAUCGAAUCUUUGAACGCACCUUGCGCCUUUUGGUAUUCCGAAAGGCAUGCCUGUUUCAGUGUCAUGAAAUCUCAAUCUAAUAUGUUUUCUGAACAUGUUAGGCUUGGACUUGGGUGUCUGCCAGCAAUGGCUCACCUCAAAUGACUUAGUGGAACAUCCCACAUCAGUGUUAGACGUAAUAAGUUUCGUCUCUCCUUGUGGUGAUGACUGCUCAAAACCUGCCAUCGCGCACCUUUUGACUUUGACCUGAAAUCAGGUAGGGCUACCCGCUGAACUUAAGCAUAUCAAUAAGCGGAGGAAAAGAAACUAACAAGGAUUCCCCUAGUAACGGCGAGUGAACCGGGAAGAGCUCAAAUUUGAAAUCUGGCGUGCUCAGUGCGUCCGAGUUGUAAUCUAUAGAGUCGUUUUCCGUGCCGGACUGUGUCCAAGUCCCUUGGAACAGGGUAUCAAAGAGGGUGAUAAUCCCGUACUUGACACAAUGACCGGUGCUCUGUGAUACGUCUUCUACGAGUCGAGUUGUUUGGGAAU